Molecule: ribosomal RNA, 398 nt
Filed under: uncultured bacterium
Lineage: Bacteria
Description: partial 16S ribosomal RNA
Rfam family: Bacterial small subunit ribosomal RNA
Source: RNAcentral
AUACGUAGGGUGCGAGCGUUGUCCGGAAUUACUGGGCGUAAAGAGCUCGUAGGUGGUUUGUCGCGUCGUCUGUGAAAUUCAGGGGCUUAACUCCGGGCGUGCAGGCGAUACGGGCAUAACUUGAGUACUGUAGGGGAGACUGGAAUUCCUGGUGUAGCGGUGAAAUGCGCAGAUAUCAGGAGGAACACCGGUGGCGAAGGGGGGUCUCUGGGCAGUAACUGACGCUGAGGAGCGAAAGCAUGGGUAGCGAACAGGAUUAGAUACCCUGGUAGUCCAUGCCGUAAACGGUGGGCGCUAGGUGUAGGGGUCUUCCACGACUUCUGUGCCGUAGCUAACGCAUUAAGCGCCCCGCCUGGGGAGUACGGCCGCAAGGCUAAAACUCAAAGGAAUUGACGGGG